CACAAAUGGAAUGCAGUGGAAAAUGAAGAUCAAGGUGCUGAAGUCAUUCUCGAUGAAGGAGCAAGGAAAACAGAAAAUUUAGUACAAACUUGCUUGCAGAUAUUUAGAUUAUAUUUCUGGAGAGAAAGUGAACAUGUUUGAAGGAUUGUGGGCACUAACUGCAUAGAUGACCUUCAGGUAUGAUCUUAACACCAUCCUCAAUUUUUCUUUAUUAACUUUUAUUCAAAAUUUAUGGUCUUUAAUUCAUUCUGUAAAACUCUACCCUCUUUCCGAAAAAUUCUUUUUACAGAAAUGAACGAUACAUCACGAGGUGUCAUUCUUAACUUCAAACGUAGGUACACAACCUUUGAUUUUGUUUCUUUAAUUUUUAUAUCCUAUUUGAUAAGAAGUAACAUGCUAGAAAAAAAGAAGAAAACCAGGAUUUAUUUCUUGUAUUAUUAGCAAAUCUAUAUAGGCAAUUAUAUAUAUUUUUUCAAAUGCGUAAAGAAAUGACGGGACAUAAGCCCACCUUGAGGGUUGCGUAAUAUCACUGCCCGUUAAGAAGAGAAGCUAUAAGUUCAAGGCCGUGACUAACGUCAGUGGUCAGUUUGUUUACUAGCGUGUUCAGUCACCAGCAGUGUUGACGUACUGGAACCUUUGGCCAGGACGUUUUGGUUUAUCUUGCUUGGCCUCUACGAUACACUUCAUCUUAAUGAUGGUGACGACAAGGCAGAAGGACAGCAUGGUGAUCGUUUGCAACUAUAAAUGUCUCCAGACACCGAGCGGCCCUCGUCAGGCUGGGUAGAGGCCUGCUGCGCCACCCACGGUUACGACACCUCCUCCCCACAACGCGCUCCAACCAACCCAUGCCACACGUCACAGAAAUGUGGUCAGACCACUUAGGGCCCCGAGGACCGACCGUUACCAACACAGUGUGAUCCCCUCCAUGGUGCGAGCUAUAAACAACUAAGUUAAUGUUCUAAUCUUAAGCCUCCCCCCAAUCCCCCAUAUGUAUAUUUUCAGUAUGUGUACUGCAAUUCCUAAUAAACCGUAUAUUAUUA
This is an RNA transcript of Portunus trituberculatus (swimming crab), 1040 nucleotides long. RefSeq lists it as uncharacterized. NCBI's taxonomy places the organism in Eukaryota, Metazoa, Arthropoda, Malacostraca, Decapoda, Portunidae. The record is from RefSeq and is a predicted model, not a curated record. The transcript is spliced from 3 exons.